Molecule: ribosomal RNA, 496 nt
Filed under: uncultured bacterium
Lineage: Bacteria
Description: partial 16S ribosomal RNA
Rfam family: Bacterial small subunit ribosomal RNA
Source: RNAcentral
AUGAACGCUGGCGGCGUGCCUAAUACAUGCAAGUCGAGCGAACGGACGAGAAGCUUGCUUCUCUGAUGUUAGCGGCGGACGGGUGAGUAACACGUGGAUAACCUACCUAUAAGACUGGGAUAACUUCGGGAAACCGGAGCUAAUACCGGAUGAUAUUUUGAACCGCAUGGUUCAAAAGUGAAAGACGGUCUUGCUGUCACUUAUAGAUGGAUCCGCGCUGCAUUAGCUAGUUGGUAAGGUAACGGCUUACCAAGGCAACGAUGCAUAGCCGACCUGAGAGGGUGAUCGGCCACACUGGAACUGAGACACGGUCCAGACUCCUACGGGAGGCAGCAGUAGGGAAUCUUCCGCAAUGGGCGAAAGCCUGACGGAGCAACGCCGCGUGAGUGAUGAAGGUCUUCGGAUCGUAAAUCUCUGUUAUUAGGGAAGAACAUAUGUGUAAGUAACUGUGCACAUCUUGACGGUACCUAAUCAGAAAGCCACGGCUAACUACGUG